This 253-nucleotide ribosomal RNA is filed under the name uncultured bacterium. RNAcentral's name for it is "partial 16S ribosomal RNA". It matches the Rfam family "Bacterial small subunit ribosomal RNA", at positions 524 to 776 of the family's 1533-position model. The record is from RNAcentral.
UACGUAGGCAGCGAGCGUUGUUCGGAUUCACUGGGCGUAAAGGGUGCGUAGGUGGUAGGGCAAGUCGGAUGUGAAAUCUCCGAGCUCAACUCGGAAAUGGCAUUGGAAACUACCCAACUAGAGGGUCGGAGGGGGGACUGGAAUUCUCGGUGUAGCAGUGAAAUGCGUAGAUAUCGAGAGGAACACCAGUGGCGAAGGCGAGUCCCUGGACGACUCCUGACACUGAGGCACGAAAGCUAGGGGAGCAAACAGG